Schizosaccharomyces pombe (fission yeast) is the source of this 245-nucleotide non-coding RNA. The record is from the annotation of a GenBank genome assembly. NCBI's taxonomy places the organism in Eukaryota, Fungi, Ascomycota, Schizosaccharomycetes, Schizosaccharomycetales, Schizosaccharomycetaceae.
CGCUGACGAAGCUCAGAAUUCACUAAGUGACCGGAUGAUAUUCUUUCUACCCUAGGAACAAGCUCAUCAGGAAAAUUUUCGUACGAUCCGAAAGCAGAUUUUAAAAUACGAAUAUCUAAAGGAGAGAGAUAGAUGUGGGAGUGAGCGAAAGGUUGAUAGAAUAGAUAGGCAUCUGCGAUUUCAGAUCCGCUAACAUCAUUCAAAUCGUCAACUUCGGAAAGCUGUUUGAGGCUAUUACUUUGAAG